GAUGAACGCUGGCGGCGUGCCUAAUACAUGCAAGUCGAGCGAACAGAUGAGGAGCUUGCUCCUCUGACGUUAGCGGCGGACGGGUGAGUAACACGUGGAUAACCUACCUAUAAGACUGGGAUAACUUCGGGAAACCGGAGCUAGUACCGGAUAAUAUAUUGAACCGCAUGGUUCAAUAGUGAAAGACGGUUUUGCUGUCACUUAUAGAUGGAUCCGCGCCGCAUUAGCUAGUUGGUAAGGUAACGGCUUACCAAGGCAACGAUGCGUAGCCGACCUGAGAGGGUGAUCGGCCACACUGGAACUGAGACACGGUCCAGACUCCUACGGGAGGCAGCAGUAGGGAAUCUUCCGCAAUGGGCGAAAGCUUGACGGAGCAACGCCGCGUGAGUGAUGAAGGUCUUCGGAUCGUAAAACUCUGUUAUUAGGGAAGAACAAAUGUGUAAGUAACUAUGCACGUCUUGACGGUACCUAAUCAGAAAGCCACGGCUAACUACGUG
Molecule: ribosomal RNA, 497 nt
Filed under: uncultured bacterium
Lineage: Bacteria
Description: partial 16S ribosomal RNA
Rfam family: Bacterial small subunit ribosomal RNA
Source: RNAcentral